Cinara cedri is the source of this 215-nucleotide non-coding RNA. The record is from the annotation of a GenBank genome assembly. Lineage: Eukaryota; Metazoa; Arthropoda; Insecta; Hemiptera; Aphididae.
AGUAAAACGUAUGGUGCUCGAGUAUCGGAUUCGAGUUUGAAUAAUUUAGUAGUUAUCUAUACACUGUACAGUCCACUUGUUCAGACAAAAUGUAGAAAAGUUAUAAAGCGCUGCUGAUCAGACACACUAUAAUAUGUAUAGAGUAUUUGCGGCCAUAAAUGUCUAUAUUAAUAAAUCAUUGGUAUUUUCUUGUGGCGUUUAGAUCGAAAUUAAAA